RNAcentral lists this ribosomal RNA (116 nucleotides) under Bacteroides ovatus. The record is from RNAcentral. Lineage: Bacteria; Pseudomonadati; Bacteroidota; Bacteroidia; Bacteroidales; Bacteroidaceae.
CUUCAGGUGGUUAUAGCACGAGGGUUCCACCUCUUCCCAUUCCGAACAGAGAAGUUAAGCCUCGUCACGCCGAUGGUACUGCGUAACAGUGGGAGAGUAGGUAGCCGCCGUUUUUU